RNAcentral lists this ribosomal RNA (508 nucleotides) under uncultured bacterium. RNAcentral describes it as "partial 16S ribosomal RNA". It matches the Rfam family "Bacterial small subunit ribosomal RNA", at positions 28 to 507 of the family's 1533-position model. The record is from RNAcentral.
GACGAACGCUGGCGGCGUGCCUAAUACAUGCAAGUCGAACGCUUCUUUCCUGCUUGCUGCUUGCACUCAAUUGGAAAGGGGGGGGGCGGACGGGGGAGUCACCCGUUGGUAACGUACUCAUCAGAGGGGGAUAACACUUGGAAACAGGUGGUAAUACCGCUUAACACUUUUUGCCGCAUGGCUUUCGAUUGCAGAUCGCCCCGGGGCGUCGCUGCUGGAUGGACGCGUGGUGCAUUAGCUAGUUGGGGAGGUAACGGCUCACUAAGUCGACGAAUCGUAGCCGACGGGGUAGGGGGAUCGGCCACACGGGAACGUGGACAGGGCCAAGACUCCUACGGGAGGCACCAGUAGGGAAUGUGCGGCAAUGGACGAAAGUCUUACCGAGCAAGGCCGCGUGUGUGAAAAAGGUGUUGGGUUCGUAAAACUCGGUUUUGGGUUAAAAACAAGGUCGGAAGGAAAUGAACGUCCCCUGACGGUAUCUAAACAGAAAGCCACGGCUAACUACGUG